Molecule: ribosomal RNA, 111 nt
Filed under: uncultured Actinomycetales bacterium
Lineage: Bacteria; Bacillati; Actinomycetota; Actinomycetes; Actinomycetales
Description: partial 16S ribosomal RNA
Rfam family: Bacterial small subunit ribosomal RNA
Source: RNAcentral
AGCGACGCCGCGUGGGGGAUGAAGGCCUUCGGGUUGUAAACCCCUUUCAGCCAUGACGAAGCGAGAGUGACGGUUGUGGUAGAAGAAGCACCGGCUAACUACAUGCCAGCA